UGAGGGAUUUUGCGCAAUGGGCGAAAGCCUGACGCAGCAACGCCGCGUGAGUGAAGAAGGCCUUUGGGUCGUAAAGCUCUGUCAACAGGGAAGAAGUUAUUGUAUUUAAAUAGAGUAUAAUAUUGACGGUACCUGAGAAGGAAGCACCGGCUAACUCCGUGCCAGCAGCCGCGGUAAUACGGGGGGUGCAAGCGUUAUUCGGAAUUAUUGGGCGUAAAGGGCGCGUAGGCGGUUCUUUAAGUCAGAUGUGAAAGCCCUGAGCUUAACUUAGGAAGAGCAUUUGAAACUAUGGGACUUGAGUACGGUAGAGGAAAGCGGAAUUCCUGGUGUAGAGGUGAAAUUCGUAGAUAUCAGGAGGAACACCGGUGGCGAAGGCGGCUUUCUGGACCUGUACUGACGCUGAUGCGCGAAGGCGUGGGUAGCGAACAGG
RNAcentral lists this ribosomal RNA (430 nucleotides) under uncultured bacterium. Its description in RNAcentral is "bacterial SSU rRNA". It matches the Rfam family "Bacterial small subunit ribosomal RNA", at positions 355 to 776 of the family's 1533-position model. The record is from RNAcentral.